GGCCUGCUGGCUCAAUGGCAGAGCGUCUGACUACGAAUCAGGAGGUUCCAGGUUCGAGACCUGGGUGGGUCG
RNAcentral lists this transfer RNA (72 nucleotides) under Lasiosphaeria miniovina. It matches the Rfam family "tRNA". From Rfam's summary of the family: Transfer RNA (tRNA) molecules are approximately 80 nucleotides in length. Their secondary structure includes four short double-helical elements and three loops (D, anti-codon, and T loops). Lineage: Eukaryota; Fungi; Ascomycota; Sordariomycetes; Sordariales; Lasiosphaeriaceae. The record is from Rfam by way of RNAcentral.